Molecule: long non-coding RNA, 643 nt
Filed under: Phasianus colchicus (ring-necked pheasant)
Lineage: Eukaryota; Metazoa; Chordata; Aves; Galliformes; Phasianidae
Description: lncRNA (ENSPCLG00000021101.1)
Source: RNAcentral
GUGGAUGAUGAUCUGUCCUCACAAAAGGAAAAAGAUGUUGAGAAAUAAAAAUCAAGCAGAGAAUGUGGCGGGACGUUUGAGCUGAGAAGACAUAAUAAGCAGCUUUGAAUGAGAGCUGUCCAGAGAACUGCUUCAGGCUGUGACUACUCUCCCAAAACAACACACAGAGUUCCCCUGGCACAUCAGGGUCUGAUAGAUGGGAAACAUCCCCCAGUGCUCGUUCUCAGGACAAGGAUGAGAGCCCCACCACUCCCCAUAGGAACUGAUGUCAUAACACAGCCCUAACAACUCACCCCGUGCUGCCACUUGGACAUCUUUUGCUUCACAUGACCAGGACCGUCCCACUUCUGGCUCCCUGUCCAGGCAGUGGAGAGAAGUGGGCUCCAACUUUACUCAAAGAAGGGAAGAACAUGAAGCAUGAAAAGAAGCUCUUGAGAAGAAUCCAGCCAGGUCAGCCAACCAACCUCCAUGCUUCUUUGAAGAAAGAGGGUGCAAAGGCAGAACAGCUGUCCAGUGAACUAGAAGAAAUAGCCCUGAAGAUAGCUUUGUGUCUGAUAUGACUUUGAGAGGGAAAAUCAUCCCAAAGAUAAAUGCUUCAAAUGAAGUUUCUAAGGGACAGAAUAAAUGCAUAUAUAUAUAUGAA